GACGAACGCUGGCGGCGUGCUUAACACAUGCAAGUCGAACGGAGUUACGUAUGAAGUAUUCGGUACGGACUAUGUAACUUAGUGGCGAACGGGUGAGUAACACGUGGGCAACCUGCCCUUAACCGGGGGAUAACAUUGUGAAAACAGUGCUAAUACCGCAUAACAGAGUAUCGGGCAUCCGAUAUUUUUAAAAGGAGCAAUCCGGUUUAGGAUGGGCCCGCGUCCAAUUAGCUAGUUGGUGAGGUAACGGCUCACCAAGGCUACGAUUGGUAGCCGAACUGAGAGGUUGAUCGGCCACAUUGGGACUGAGACACGGCCCAGACUCCUACGGGAGGCAGCAGUGGGGAAUAUUGGGCAAUGGGCGAAAGCCUGACCCAGCGACGCCGCGUGAAGGAUGAAGGUCUUCGGAUUGUAAACUUCUUUGAUCAGGGAAGAAAGAAAUGACGGUACCUGAAGAACAAGCCACGGCUAACUACGUG
This 479-nucleotide ribosomal RNA is filed under the name uncultured bacterium. RNAcentral's name for it is "bacterial SSU rRNA". It matches the Rfam family "Bacterial small subunit ribosomal RNA", at positions 28 to 507 of the family's 1533-position model. The record is from RNAcentral.